GCGGGCGUGGCGAAACUGGCAGACGCGCGGGAUUUAGGUUCCCGUGGGGUAAGACCCGUGCAGGUUCGAGUCCUGUCGCCCGCA
Molecule: transfer RNA, 84 nt
Filed under: Planctomycetes bacterium TMED75
Lineage: Bacteria; Pseudomonadati; Planctomycetota
Also listed under: 5 other names
Description: tRNA-Leu
Rfam family: tRNA
About the family: Transfer RNA (tRNA) molecules are approximately 80 nucleotides in length. Their secondary structure includes four short double-helical elements and three loops (D, anti-codon, and T loops). Further hydrogen bonds mediate the characteristic L-shaped molecular structure. tRNAs have two regions of fundamental functional importance: the anti-codon, which is responsible for specific mRNA codon recognition, and the 3' end, to which the tRNAs corresponding amino acid is attached (by aminoacyl-tRNA synthetases). tRNAs cope with the degeneracy of the genetic code in two manners: having more than one tRNA (with a specific anti-codon) for a particular amino acid; and 'wobble' base-pairing, i.e. permitting non-standard base-pairing at the 3rd anti-codon position.
Source: RNAcentral